CCCGAAAAAAAAAACUCUCUCUAAUCGAAUCGGUGUCUCCACGACGCCCCGCUCGGCGCUCGGCCUCGCUGCUCUCUCUCCCUCUCUGUCUCGGCGCCGCCGCGGCCAUCGAUCGACCUCGAAGGAGGCGCGGCCUGCAGCCUCCACCUUCGCCCAGUCAAGUUUCUAAAACAAUCACAUGUCCAAGGCACGCAACGCCUUAGUUGUCACUGGGUUGGUGAUCUUUGCUGGUACUGGCCUAGCAUUUCCCUUCUACUUUGUGAAAUCAAAGAACAGGCCUAUUAUUGAUUCAACGAAGCCUCUGCCACCGCAGGCUACUUUCCGAGGACCGUAUGUGAACACUGGAUCGCGCGACAUAGGGCCUGAUCACACCGAGUACCCCAAGAAGUGAUAUGUAUUUCCAUCUUGUUUUCUCUUUGUUUUCAGUGGGCAUGCAGAAAACCAGUGAGUGGAACCCUGUAAUGCUGAUUUAAUAGCGAGGUGGUGAUAAUCGGCUCGUGAUGCUGGGCAACGCGAUUGCAGUGCAUUAGCUUCGGUUUCAGGUGUUAUGUGCAGAGCACAUGCAUAUGUACGCAGUUCUUCAUGAAUUGUAGGCUCUUUUGAUCGUUUCCUGUGCUCCAGUGACUAUUCCUUCCAAAGCGUUGUGCCGCUAUAGGCUAUACCUAUGUUAGGCAAUAAAAAAAAUGUUGGGUUUGCGUUGCUGAAGGUGUGAGGCCAUAAAUGAUACUCCCUCCUUUUCAUACUACUCCCUCCUUUUCUAAAUAUAUGAUGUUUUGGUAGUUCAAACUGAACUAUCAAAACGUCGUACAUUUAGGAAUGGAGGGAGUAUAUUAAUUUCGUAUUAAUUCGAACUUUAUGAGAGCCAAUUUCUAGAAAAAAAAUAUCAACAUCUAAAGUACCAAUAAAUACAGUAUGAAAUUAUGUUUUUUGCAGGAAUAUGAAAAAAUGUUCCACAACGUAUCUAAUGAUAUUUUUGGUAUUGUGAAUGUUGUUUCUUUAAACCUAGUCAAACUUCACUAAUUUUGAACUACAACAAAACUAAUAUGUGAAAAUAUGAAACAGAUGGAGUACGGUAAAAAGUAAAAUGAUCAUAAUCAAGACUAAGAAGGUUUGUUAACAGUACUAUUUUGUUGCUCUUAUUAAUAUUUUCUUAAUUUAGUUUGGACAGGGGAGCUAGGUUUUACACUGAUGCCCAGAGCCUUGCAGUGUUAUCCAAUGAAUCAAGCUCUCGUAAAGCCGGAAAAAUUUACGGGAUCCUUCGGAGUUACCUGGAGCCUCCCGGGCCCAGAACCCCCGGCUAGCCUCCAAGCUUUACAGAAGGAUAGCAGCCUGCAGCAGCUCCUUCGAGUUGUGGCUGUAUGAAAUGGGAUGGCUCCGUUUCACACUACGGUGGAUUGGAGUAAUCUCAUUUGCUCAACUAGGUUUUAUAUAUUUCUCCCCUCAAAGUAAAGAAUUUGUCUAUUUUUGUUACUCCCUCCGUCCCAAAAUAAGUUAGUACAAAGUUGAGUCACUUAUUUUGGGACGAAGAGAGUAUUUGUUUGACUUGCCUUUGUUUCGUUUUACACUACUCCCUUCGUUUUGAAAUUAUUAUCGUGGUUUUAAUUGAGAUUACUAUAUAAAAUAUCUAUUGUAAAAGAGGAGUUGCUAGGUUCGCCUCA
RNA transcript from Triticum aestivum (bread wheat), 1658 nucleotides. RefSeq lists it as uncharacterized. The transcript has 4 exons. The record is from RefSeq and is a predicted model, not a curated record. NCBI's taxonomy places the organism in Eukaryota, Viridiplantae, Streptophyta, Magnoliopsida, Poales, Poaceae.